RNAcentral lists this unclassified non-coding RNA (885 nucleotides) under Hevea brasiliensis (rubber tree). Lineage: Eukaryota; Viridiplantae; Streptophyta; Magnoliopsida; Malpighiales; Euphorbiaceae. The record is from RNAcentral.
AGCUUCCAGAAAGUAUUUGCAAACCUGUAUAUAUAUUCACGCACAUCAAAAGUCACGCAAAUAGAACCACAAAUUAGAAGUUCAUUUAGACAAGAAAAAUUCUAUCUCAUCAUAUCAGCGCAAAUUAUGGCUACAAACUACGCUUCUUCUCAAGGCUAAAAUGAUAUCCUUUUGCAUAUUUGUUUUUAUCUGGUUUGUCUUUGAGUUUAAGCAUGAAAGCAAUUGCCUGAAUAUGUCCAUGUCAUGAGUUCAGUUUUUCAUAUAUACCAAACUUAAAGAGAUCAGACUUUGAAAAUCUCAUCUUUUCCAAAUACCAUACAAAUCCUUUUUCAUCUUACCUUCCUUGACAUUGUUUCUUUUUCAGUAUGAAGGGAUUUAGAAAAAAAAAUUGAAAAGAAUCUCUCUUUCCCUUUAAAAUCCACUAUCCUUUCUCUCAAUAUUUUUAUCUCUUCAGUAAUAUUUUCACACUUAUUCUUAAAACACCUUCUUGGGAGUUUUUUUUUCCCCAAUUACUAAAUUGAUAAGAACUCUCAAAGCACUCUCUCUGUAUGUCCAGUAGACUUGAAAUCAUGGUUUUAAAAAAUGGCUGUUACAUUACGUUACAUAGUGGUCAUUAUUUAAAGGCUUUUUGGCUUACCGUUACAGUUACCACCGUUAUUUAACGGAUUUUUGAAUUUGUAAUUGUAAAGGCCAUUAUGGCCGUUAUUUAAAAGUAAUGGCCGUUAUUUAAAAGUAAUGGCCGUUAUCAACCGUUAACUAAUGCUCAUAACGGCCUUUACUUUUCCAACUAAGAAUUCCAACUAAGGUAACGGUCAUAAUCAAGAUAAUCAAGGAUCUCCUAGACACUCAUUUUGGUUGUAAUAAGGUUAGUUGUUUACUAUCUUC